RNAcentral lists this transfer RNA (69 nucleotides) under Heterocephalus glaber (naked mole-rat). It matches the Rfam family "tRNA". From Rfam's summary of the family: Transfer RNA (tRNA) molecules are approximately 80 nucleotides in length. Their secondary structure includes four short double-helical elements and three loops (D, anti-codon, and T loops). The record is from Rfam by way of RNAcentral. Lineage: Eukaryota; Metazoa; Chordata; Mammalia; Rodentia; Bathyergidae.
GAGGGUGUAGCUCAGUGGCAGAGUACUUGCCUGGCAUUCAAAAGGCUCUGGGUUCAAUCCCCACUUUCU